CAUGUAGGCGGAUUAAUAAGUUUGAAGUGAAAUCCUAUAGCUUAACUAUAGAACUGCUUUGAAAACUGUUAAUCUAGAAUGUGGGAGAGGUAGAUGGAAUUUCUGGUGUAGGGGUAAAAUCCGUAGAGAUCAGAAGGAAUAUCGAUUGCGAAGGCGAUCUACUGGAACAUUAUUGACGCUGAGAUGCGAAAGCGUGGGGAGCAAACA
Molecule: ribosomal RNA, 207 nt
Filed under: uncultured bacterium
Lineage: Bacteria
Description: partial 16S ribosomal RNA
Rfam family: Bacterial small subunit ribosomal RNA
Source: RNAcentral